RNAcentral lists this ribosomal RNA (445 nucleotides) under uncultured bacterium. RNAcentral's name for it is "SSU rRNA". It matches the Rfam family "Bacterial small subunit ribosomal RNA", at positions 26 to 518 of the family's 1533-position model. The record is from RNAcentral.
AGAACGAACGCUGGCGGCAGGCUUAACACAUGCAAGUCGAGCGCCCCGCAAGGGGAGCGGCAGACGGGAGAGUAACACGUGGGAACGUACCCUUUGGUUCGGAACAACACAGGGAAACUUGUGCUAAUACCGGAUAAAGCCCUUACGGGGAAAGAUUUAUUGCCAAAAGGAUCGGCCCGCGUCUGAUUAGCUUGUUGGUGGGGUAAAGGCCUACCAAGGCGACGAUCGGUAGCUGGUCUGAGAGGAUGAUCAGCCACAUUGGGACUGAGACACGGCCCAAACUCCUACGGGAGGCAGCAGUGGGGAAUAUUGGACAAUGGGCGCAAGCCUGAUCCAGCAAUGCCGCGUGUGUGAAGAAGGUCUUCGGAUUGUAAAGCACUUUCGACGGGGACGAUGAUGACGGUACCCGUAGAAGAAGCCCGGCUAACUUCGUGCCAGCAGCCGC